RNAcentral lists this ribosomal RNA (506 nucleotides) under uncultured bacterium. RNAcentral's name for it is "partial 16S ribosomal RNA". It matches the Rfam family "Bacterial small subunit ribosomal RNA", at positions 28 to 507 of the family's 1533-position model. The record is from RNAcentral.
GACGAACGCUGGCGGCGUGCUUAACACAUGCAAGUCGAACGGUGAAGGGACUGGUUUUUCUGGUCCUGGAUGGGUGGCGAACGGGUGAGUAACACGUGAGUAACCUCCCCCCUUCUGCUGGAUAACCGCAUGAAAGUGUGACUAAUACAGGGUAUUCUGGGUCUGUCGGAUGGUGGGCCUGCGAAAGAUUGCGCCUUUUUUGAUGUGUGUGUUGGGGGUUGGGCUGGCGGCCGAUCAGCUUGUUGGGGGGGUGAUGGCCUACCAAGGGGGUGACGGGUAGCCGGCCUGAGAGGGUGGACGGUCACACUGGGACUGAGACACGGCCCAGACUCCUACGGGAGGCAGCAGUGGAGAAUAUUGCACAAUGGGCGCAAGUCUGAUGAAGCGACGCCGCGUGAGGGAUGGAGUCCUUCGGGUUGUGAACCUCUUUCGGGAGUGAAGCAGGCCUGCCUUUUUUCGUGGGUGGGUUGACGGUAGCUGGAUAAGAAGCGCCGGCUAACUACGUG